UUGACCUCAAAUCAGGUAGGACUACCCGCUGAACUUAAGCAUAUCAAUAAGCGGAGGAAAAGAAACUAACAAGGAUUCCCUUAGUAACUGCGAGUGAAGAGGGAAAAGCUCAAAUUUAGAAUCUGGCAGUGUUUCAUUGUCCGAGUUGUAACCUAGAGAAGUGUAACCUGCACUGGACCGUGUACAAGUCUCCUGGAAUGGAGCAUCAUAGAGGGUGAUAAUCCCGUCUUUGACAUGGACUKCCAGUGCAUUGUGG
This 256-nucleotide ribosomal RNA is filed under the name Amanita sp. 'sponsus'. Its description in RNAcentral is "partial 28S ribosomal RNA". It matches the Rfam family "Eukaryotic large subunit ribosomal RNA", at positions 1 to 249 of the family's 3401-position model. Lineage: Eukaryota; Fungi; Basidiomycota; Agaricomycetes; Agaricales; Amanitaceae. The record is from RNAcentral.